CCGGAACACAUGAGGAACGUUUUCAGGCGCACAUCGCCCGAGCAGUCUGCAAUAUCCUCUGCGUUUUAUUUGGACAAAGCCGCGGGCUAGCGGGCAGGCGAAUUCUCUUGGCCUCCUCACGCAUUCGGGCUCCAUUUUCUGGAAUGCAGCAAUGCUGCUCCCAGUCAAAAGUCUCGCAUGGCUUUUGCGACAACCGCUGCCAGUAUUACCAUAGACAACAUUUAUGGUGCAUGCACGGGCGUUUGCCACCGGACGGACAACCCGUUUCAACAGGUGCCUCCAACAGAAAAACAAU
Molecule: long non-coding RNA, 295 nt
Organism: Hippocampus zosterae (dwarf seahorse)
Lineage: Eukaryota; Metazoa; Chordata; Actinopteri; Syngnathiformes; Syngnathidae
Exons: 2
Source: RefSeq, a predicted model, not a curated record